This is a long non-coding RNA of Harpegnathos saltator (Jerdon's jumping ant), 234 nucleotides long. RefSeq lists it as uncharacterized. The transcript is spliced from 2 exons. The record is from RefSeq and is a predicted model, not a curated record. NCBI's taxonomy places the organism in Eukaryota, Metazoa, Arthropoda, Insecta, Hymenoptera, Formicidae.
CGAAGAUGUCGCUGACGUCGCCGACGACGUCGUCGCCGCGCUUGCUUCGACUUUGUCGCGGAAGCUUCAAGAGAGAACACUUCCUCGCGAGAUCGAUGCAACAGGAGGCGAGCCUUGCGAAUGUUAAAGCGAAUGGCGGAAAUUCACUCGAAUGUGCAGAGCGGAAAAUACGUAAAAAAUGCAACAUUAAAUGCGGGGAUCGUCUACCUAAAAAAAAAAAAAAAAAAAAAAAAA